Molecule: ribosomal RNA, 1337 nt
Filed under: Synechococcus elongatus str. Ramsar
Lineage: Bacteria; Bacillati; Cyanobacteriota; Cyanophyceae; Synechococcales; Synechococcaceae
Description: 16S ribosomal RNA
Rfam family: Bacterial small subunit ribosomal RNA
Source: RNAcentral
GACGGGCUCUUCGGAGCUAGUGGCGGACGGGUGAGGAACGCGUGAGAACCUGCCUCAAGGUCGGGGACAACAGUUGGAAACGACUGCUAAUACCGGAUGAGCCCAAUAGGUAAAAGAUUUAUCGCCUAGAGAGGGGCUCGCGUCUGAUUAGCUAGAUGGUGAGGUAAAGGCUUACCAUGGCGACGAUCAGUAGCUGGUCUGAGAGGAUGAGCAGCCACACUGGGACUGAGACACGGCCCAGACUCCUACGGGAGGCAGCAGUGGGGAAUUUUUCCCCAAUGGGCGAAACCCUGACGGAACAAUCCCAGCGUGAGGGAGGAAGGUUCUUGGGUUGUAAACCUCAAAACUUAGGGAAGAAAAAAAUGACGGUACCUAAUGUAAGCAUCGGCUAACUCCGUACCAGCAGCCGCGGUAAUACGGAGGAUGCAAGCGUUAUCCGGAAUCAUUGGGCGUAAAGAGUCCGUAGGUGGCACUUCAAGUCUGCUUUCAAAGACCGAAGCUCAACUUCGGAAAGGGAGUGGAAACUGAAGAGCUAGAGUAUAGUAGGGGUAGAGGGAAUUCCUAGUGUAGCGGUGAAAUGCGUAGAGAUUAGGAAGAACACCAGUGGCGAAGGCGCUCUACUGGGCAUAUACUGACACUGAGGGACGAAAGCUAGGGGAGCGAAAGGGAUUAGAUACCCCUGUAGUCCUAGCGGUAAACGAUGGAUACUAGGCGUAGUGCUGUUAGAAGGACUGUGCCGAAGCUAACGCGUUAAGUAUCCCGCCUGGGGGAGUACGCACGCAAGUGUGAAACUCAAAGGAAUUGACGGGGACCCGCACAAGCGGUGGAGUAUGUGGGUUUAAUUCGAUGCAACGCGAAGAACCUUACCAAGGCUUGACAUCCUGCGAAUCUUGGAGAAAUCUGAGAGUGCCUAAGGGAACGCAGAGACAGGAUGGUGCAUGGCUGUCGUCAGCUCGUGUCGUGAGAUGUUGGGGUUAAGUCCCGCAACGAGCGCAACCCUCGUCCUUAGUUGCCAGCAUUAAGUUUGGGGACUCUAGGGGAGACCGCCGGGGAGAACUCGGAGGAAGGUGGGGAUGACGUCAAGUCAGCAUGCCCCUUACGUCUUGGGCUACACACGUACUACAAUGGUUGGGACAAAGGGGAGCGAAACCGCGAGGUGGAGCGAAUCUCAUCAAACCCAGCCACAGUUCAGAUUGCAGGCUGAAACUCGCCUGCAUGAAGGAGGAAUCGCUAGUAAUCGCAGGUCAGCAUACUGCGGUGAAUCCGUUCCCGGGUCUUGUACACCCCGCCCGUCACACCAUGGAAGUUGGUCACGCCCGAAGUCGUUAUUCUAACCC